CACUAAUGAAACAGCUCUGCGUCCUGUUGUGGGAGGGACAGUGUGUCACUGUGAAGGCUGUUUGGAGAUGUCAAGAAGUCAUACAGCUUUAAAAAGACAUGAAGUGAAAACUGGAGAAGGAUAAAAGGGCAAUCCAGACCGCCAGAGAGG
Molecule: long non-coding RNA, 150 nt
Organism: Myxocyprinus asiaticus (Chinese sucker)
Lineage: Eukaryota; Metazoa; Chordata; Actinopteri; Cypriniformes; Catostomidae
Exons: 3
Source: RefSeq, a predicted model, not a curated record